Molecule: long non-coding RNA, 236 nt
Filed under: Lathyrus oleraceus (garden pea)
Lineage: Eukaryota; Viridiplantae; Streptophyta; Magnoliopsida; Fabales; Fabaceae
Description: Pisum sativum (pea) long non-coding RNA (PSAT_LNC017106)
Source: RNAcentral
UUUCAUGAUUUUUUGAAUCCCCAUUCGACAAAAUGUACCCCACUCCCCCAAUGUGUAUAUAAUUUUGUAUUGUUUUAUUUCUCUAUUUGUUUUAGAUACUAACACAAGAAUAAAAUCAACAAUUUCAAAAAAAUACAAAAAUAUGACUCGAUCCAACGUCGAGUAUUUUCUCAAUAAACAAAUCAACUCAUUUCUCCCUCCUAUUCCAUUCCAUUUCUUCCAAACUUUCAUCAAAC